CCACUCUGAAAAGCAGGAGGCGCGAGGCGGUCGACAGACCCCUCGCCGGUCCUCGCCCACGGUGAAAACCGGCCACGGCCGGUGAAGCUCUCAGGCCCAUGACAGAGGGGGA
Molecule: non-coding RNA, 112 nt
Filed under: Frigoribacterium sp.
Lineage: Bacteria; Bacillati; Actinomycetota; Actinomycetes; Micrococcales; Microbacteriaceae
Description: Glycine sequence
Rfam family: Glycine riboswitch aptamer
About the family: This family represents the bacterial glycine riboswitch. Glycine riboswitches usually consist of two metabolite-binding aptamers domains with similar structures in tandem.
Source: RNAcentral